AUUGAACGCUGGCGGCAGGCCUAACACAUGCAAGUCGAACGAGUGGCGGACGGGAGUGUAAUGUCUGGGAAACUGCCUGAUGGAGGGGGAUAACUACUGGAAACGGUAGCUAAUACCGCAUACCAUCGGAUUGGCCCAGAUGGGAUUAGCUAGUGGGUGGGGUAACGGGACACCUAGGCGACGAUCCCUAGCUGGUGUGAGAGGAUGACCAGCCAAACUGGAACGAGGAAACGGCCCAGACUCCUACGGGAGGCAGAAGUGGGGAAUAUUGCACAAGGGGCGCAAGCCUGAUGCAGCCAUGCCGCGUGGAUGAAGAAGGCCUUCGGUUUGUAAAGUACGUUCAGCGGGGAGGCGUUACCCACAGAAGAAGCACCGGCUAACUCCGUGCCAGCAGCCGCGGUAAUUC
This 406-nucleotide ribosomal RNA is filed under the name uncultured bacterium. Its description in RNAcentral is "partial 16S ribosomal RNA". It matches the Rfam family "Bacterial small subunit ribosomal RNA", at positions 29 to 526 of the family's 1533-position model. The record is from RNAcentral.